GACGAACGCUGGCGGCGUGCUUAACACAUGCAAGUCGAACGGAAAGGCCCUGCUUUUGUGGGGUGCUCGAGUGGCGACCGGGUGAGUAACACGUGAGUAACCUGCCCUUGACUUUGGUAUAACUUCAGGAAACUGGGGCUAAUACCGGAUAGGAGCUCCUGCUGCAUGGUGGGGGUUGGAAAGUUUCGGCGGAGGGGGAUUGACUCGCGGCUUAUCAGCUUGUUGGUAGGGUAGUGGCUUACCAAGGCUUGGACGGGUAGCCUGCCUGAGAGGGUGACCGGACACAUUGGGACUGAGAUACGGCACAGACUCCUACGGGAGGCAGCAGUGGGGAAUAUUGCACAAUGGGAGGAAGCCUGAUGCAGCAACGCAGCGUGCGGGAUGACGGCCUUCGGGUUGUAAACCGCUUUCGCCUGUGACGAAGCGUGAGUGACGGUAAUGGGUAAAGAAGCACCGGCUAACUACGUG
Molecule: ribosomal RNA, 468 nt
Filed under: uncultured bacterium
Lineage: Bacteria
Description: partial 16S ribosomal RNA
Rfam family: Bacterial small subunit ribosomal RNA
Source: RNAcentral